This 474-nucleotide ribosomal RNA is filed under the name Bradyrhizobium japonicum. RNAcentral describes it as "bacterial LSU rRNA". It matches the Rfam family "Bacterial large subunit ribosomal RNA", at positions 1 to 409 of the family's 2925-position model. The record is from RNAcentral. Lineage: Bacteria; Pseudomonadati; Pseudomonadota; Alphaproteobacteria; Hyphomicrobiales; Nitrobacteraceae.
AAUCAAGUGCCUUAAGGGUGUUCGGUGGAUGCCUUGGCGCUGAGAGGCGAUGAAGGACGUGCUACGCUGCGAUAAGCCGUGGGGAGCUGCGAAGAAGCUUUGAUCCGCGGAUUUCCGAAUGGGGAAACCCACCUUCGAUAGCCGGAACUCCAAGACCUUUGUCGAAAGACAUCGGUGUGGGGUUCGACCAGAUGAUGGAAGAUGCCUAGGCCUUUAGAUUUCGAUCGAAGAGGUUUUGGAUUUCCGGUUAUCAAGAGAAGGUAUGAGACUUCUGAAUACAUAGGAGGUUUCAAGCAAACCCAGGGAACUGAAACAUCUAAGUACCUGGAGGAAAGGACAUCAACAGAGACUCCGUUAGUAGUGGCGAGCGAACGCGGACCAGGCCAGUGAUACAUCAAAGACAAUCGGAACCAGUCAGGAAAGCUGGGCCUCAGAGGGUGAUAGCCCCGUACGAGUAAUGCGAUGAUGUAUCCA